This 491-nucleotide ribosomal RNA is filed under the name uncultured bacterium. RNAcentral's name for it is "partial 16S ribosomal RNA". It matches the Rfam family "Bacterial small subunit ribosomal RNA", at positions 29 to 506 of the family's 1533-position model. The record is from RNAcentral.
AGUGAACGCUGGCGGUAGGCCUAACACAUGCAAGUCGAACGGCAGCACAGUAAGAGCUUGCUCUUACGGUUGGCGAGUGGCGGACGGGUGAGGAAUACAUCGGAAUCUACUUUUUCGUGGGGGAUAACGUAGGGAAACUUACGCUAAUACCGCAUACGACCUACGGGUGAAAGCAGGGGAGCUUCGGACCUUUCGCGAUUGAAUGAGCCGAUGUCGGAUUAGCUAGUUGGCGGGGUAAAGGCCCACCAAGGCGACGAUCCGUAGCUGGUCUGAGAGGAGAGCCGGCCAACUUGGACCUGGGAAACGGUCCAGACCCCUACGGGAGGAAGCAGUGGGGAAUAUUGGACAAUGGGCGAAAGCCUGCUCCAGCCAUACCGCGUGGGUGAAGAAGGCCUUCGGGUUGUAAAGCCCUUUUGUUGGGAAAGAAAAGCAGCAGGUUAAUACCCCGCUGUUCUGACGGUACCAAAAGAAUAAGCACCGGCUAACUUCGU